Molecule: ribosomal RNA, 550 nt
Filed under: Dendropsophus sp. 1 MJD-2022
Lineage: Eukaryota; Metazoa; Chordata; Amphibia; Anura; Hylidae
Description: partial large subunit ribosomal RNA
Rfam family: Bacterial large subunit ribosomal RNA
Source: RNAcentral
CCCAGUGACUUAGUUCAACGGCCGCGGUAUCCUAACCGUGCGAAGGUAGCGUAAUCACUUGUUCUUUAAAUGAGGACUAGUAUGAAUGGCACCACGAAGGUUAAACUGUCUCCUCUUUCUAAUCAAUGAAACUAAUCUCCCCGUGAAGAAGCGGGGAUAAACACAUAAGACGAGAAGACCCUAUGGAGCUUUAAACUAUUAGCACUAGCCCUACAUUAAUACACUUCAGAAGAAUAAAAAUUACCCCGGCUUUUAUGACUAUAAGUUUUAGGUUGGGGUGACCGCGGAGCAUAAACCAACCUCCACAUUGAAUGAUAUUCCCUGAGCAAAAAGCUACAACUUUAAGCACCAAUAAAUUGACAUUAAUUGACCCAAUAUUUUGAUCAACGAACCAAGUUACCCUAGGGAUAACAGCGCAAUCCAUUUCAAGAGCCCCUAUCGACAAAUGGGUUUACGACCUCGAUGUUGGAUCAGGGUGUCCCAGUGGUGCAGCCGCUACUAAAGGUUCGUUUGUUCAACGAUUAAAACCCUACGUGAUCUGAGUUUCAGA